ACAAGUCUCCCUUGAACAUUUGAAAGGCAUUGCUAAGUUACAUGUAACUAGUAUCUGUGGCUAGUAGAAUUGUGGAAAUAUCUUGAGAGAAAAGCUUAAGCAAAAAAGAAUAAGAAAAAAACCUUAACAGGAAAAAACUUUAUAUUUUUAUGAUUGAAAAGAGUUGUGAUAUUGUACAUGUUAAUUUCAAGAAAGAAGUGAAAACAAAAAGAAAAUUUUUGGUAUGGGUCAAAUUUCCC
This 239-nucleotide long non-coding RNA is filed under the name Mytilus galloprovincialis (Mediterranean mussel). Lineage: Eukaryota; Metazoa; Mollusca; Bivalvia; Mytilida; Mytilidae. The record is from RNAcentral.